GAUGAACGCUGGCGGCGUGCUUAACACAUGCAAGUCGAACGAAGCACUUUAUUUGAUUUCCUUCGGGACUGAUUAUUUUGUGACUGAGUGGCGGACGGGUGAGUAACGCGUGGGUAACCUGCCUUGUACAGGGGGAUAACAGUUGGAAACGGCUGCUAAUACCGCAUAAGCGCACGGCAUCGCAUGAUGCAGUGUGAAAAACUCCGGUGGUAUAAGAUGGACCCGCGUUGGAUUAGCUAGUUGGUGAGGUAACGGCCCAUCAAGGCGACGAUCCAUAGCCGACCUGAGAGGGUGACCGGCCACAUUGGGACUGAGACACGGCCCAAACUCCUACGGGAGGCAGCAGUGGGGAAUAUUGCACAAUGGGCGAAAGCCUGAUGCAGCGACGCCGCGUGAGCGAAGAAGUAUUUCGGUAUGUAAAGCUCUAUCAGCAGGGAAGAUAAUGACGGUACCUGACGAAGAAGCACCGGCUAAAUACGUG
RNAcentral lists this ribosomal RNA (481 nucleotides) under uncultured bacterium. RNAcentral's name for it is "partial 16S ribosomal RNA". It matches the Rfam family "Bacterial small subunit ribosomal RNA", at positions 28 to 507 of the family's 1533-position model. The record is from RNAcentral.